GACGAACGCUGGCGGCGCGCUUAACACAUGCAAGUCGAACGGAAAGGCCUGCUUUCCCUUGUGGAUUGCGGGUACUCGAGUGGCGAACGGGUGAGUAACACAUGAGUGAUCUGCCCCCAACUUGGGUAUAAGCCUGGGAAACUGGGUCUAAUUCCCGAUAGGACUGCAGGGUGGUGCCUGUGGUGGAAAACGAUUUUCUAGUGGUUGGGGAUGAGCUCGCGGCCUAUCAGCUUGUUGGUGGGGUAAUGGCCUACCAAGGCGGCGACGGGUAGCCGGCCUGGGAGGGUGGACGGCCACAUUGGGACUGAGAUACGGCCCAGACUCCUACGGGAGGCAGCAGUGGGGAAUAUUACACAAUGGGCGGAAGCCUGAUGCAGCGACGCCGCGUGGGGGAUGACGGCCUUCGGGUUGUAAACUCCUUUCGACCGCGAGGAAGCCACCUGGUUGGAAGGGUGGUGACGGCAGUGGUAGAAGAAGCACCGGCUAACUACGUG
Molecule: ribosomal RNA, 494 nt
Filed under: uncultured bacterium
Lineage: Bacteria
Description: partial 16S ribosomal RNA
Rfam family: Bacterial small subunit ribosomal RNA
Source: RNAcentral